Molecule: long non-coding RNA, 14012 nt
Organism: Bubalus bubalis (water buffalo)
Lineage: Eukaryota; Metazoa; Chordata; Mammalia; Artiodactyla; Bovidae
Exons: 2
Source: RefSeq, a predicted model, not a curated record
CCCUGGGUUGGGAAGAUCCCCUGGAAUAGGAAAUGGAAACUCACUCCAGUAUUCCUGUCUGGGACAUCCCGUGGACAGAGGAGCCUGUCCAUGGGGUUGCAAAGAGUCGGACACACUGGGCAAACACAGGUGGUGUGGUGGGUGAGCUGUCUGACCAUGUUGGUUCACUGAGUUCUCCUGCCCGGCCUCAGAAACAACCUCGAUCCUGAGCUUUCUCUCUGGGCGUGGGGGUGGGGGGCACGGAGUAGGUUCCUCCAUUAAUUUACUGCCCAGAGCAGUGAAUUAAUGUCUGCUUGGCUUCUGUAUCUCUUCCACUCUCCCCACUGCGACCCAGACCCCCAGUUAACUUCCAGAGUCCAGAUCCCAGACUGGGUCUUCAGGGAGCUGCUCCCUCCUUAUGGAAACCAAUAGGGCAGCAUUGCUAUAGCAUCGGAGUGACUUUUCCUUUUAACCCACUGGGAAUACUGGUGCUGUUUGCCUUCGCACCUGUAUAUUCUUUUUUUUUUAGUUUUUAAAAUAAUUUUAUUAUUGAGGUAUAGUUGGUGUACAAUAUUAUGUUAGUUUCUGAUAUACAAUAUAGUGAUUCAGAAUUCUUAUAUAUUAUACUCCAUUUAAAGUUAUUGUAAAAUACUGAUUAUAUUCCCUGUGCUGUAUAAUAUAUCUCUGUAACUUGUUUACAUAGUAAUUUGUAACUCUUAGUCCCCUCCCCCAUCUUGCCCCCUCCCCCUUCUCCCCAAUGUUAACCACUAGUUUAUAUCUAUGAGUCUGCUUCUUUUUUGUUAUAUUCAUUUGCUUAUUUUUUAGAUUCCACAUGUAAAUGAUGACAUACAAUAUUUGUCUUUCUCAGUCUGACUUCCUUCACCAAGCAUAAUACCCCCUAGGUCCAUUUGUGUUGUUGCAAAAUGGGAAAAAUUGCAUUCUUUCUUAUGGCUGAGUAGUAUUCCAUUAUAUGUUUAUACACCACAUUUUCUUUAUCUGUUCAUCUGUUGAUGGACUUUUGGGUUGCUUCCGCAUCCUGGCUAUUGCAAAUGAUGCUGCUAGGAACAUUGGGGUGCAUGUAUUUUUUUGAAUUAGUGUUUUUCGGUUUGGGGGUAUAUAUACCCAGGAGUGGACUUGCUUGAUCUUAUGAUAGUUCUAUUUCUAUCUCUUUUGAGGAAGCUUCAUACUGUUUUCCAUAAUAGCUACCCCAGUUUGCAUUCUCACCAACAGUGUGCAAGAGUUCCUUUUUCUCCACAUCCUCGCCAAUAUUUGUUAUCUGUAAUCUUUUUGAUAGCCAUUCUGACAGGUAUGAGGUGGUAUCUCUUGCCUGGGGAUUUGAUUUGUAUUUCUCUGAUGAUAGUGAUGUGGGGCAUCUUUUCAUGUGCCUGUUGACCAUCUGUGUGUCUUCAGAAAAGUUAUCUAUUCAUGUCUUCUGCCCAUUUUUAAUUGUAUGUGUUUUUUUAGCUAGAUGAGCUAUUUAUAUAGUUUGGCCAUUAACUCCUUAUUGGUUGUGUCAGUUGCAAAUUUUCUCCCAUUCAGUAGGCUGUCUUUUCAUUUUGUCAGCGGCUUGCUGUGCGGGCGCUUUCACCCCAGAACUGGGGGUUGGAGAGGAGUGAGGGGCUGGGCGGCGCUGACAGCGCUGGUUUCGGGCUGGAAACCGAUUGGACCUGGAAGAACCAGAGCUCGGGCUCCGUGGGUCUGAAGUGGGGUGCAUGAAGGUCAAAAUGGCAUUUCAGGGAGUCUGGGCCUUGUUCCAGUUGCGAGCAGACUGGGUGAGGAGAGACACUGAGCCUAGAGGUGUGAGGGGGGCAGGGGUGGAAUGGGGUGUGGGAGACACAUUUUAACCGAGCACAGCUUUCCUCCGCAUUGUGGACCUCGGGGUGAGCAAUGGAUCCAGAACCUCGUCUUGGAUCCAUUUGGUCUUUGGACUUGGAUGGUCUUUCAGACCAUCAUGGUGACAGUCAACUGCUCAGGGAGUGUCGCAGGAGACGUGGGGUGUCGCGUCCUCAGCCUCCUUCCCACCCAGGCUGCUGGCCUGGCUGGGCCGUCUUUGUUCCCUGCAGUUGUCAGAAGAGAGCUGCCCUCCCUCACUGCCUCUGCCCUUUCUCUGUGGUCUUCUCAGAGUCUCGCCAGGGCAGCUCUCUGGGAUCUGGCGCCCGGGGUCCAGAGUCCCUGCAAGACGGCCGUGCAGAGAGCCCUGAGCAGGCAAAGUGUGUUCCCACAAAAGAGGGCCUGGACACCAGAUAUUCAGCUCUCAGUCAUCGUUUUUCAUGUUCUUUUAAAAUUAUAAAAUUAAUAGUAAUGCUCAUAAAAUGUCAAACAGUUCAGGAACUUCCCUGACGGGGUCCAGUGGUUAAGACUUCGCCUGCCAAUGCAGGGGGCAGAGGUUUGACCCCUGGUCCGGGAGCUAAGAUCCCACGUGCCUCCUGGCCAAAAACUGAAACACAGAAGUGUUAAUUGUAACAGAUUCAAUAAAGAGUUUAAAAAUGGUCCACCUCAAAAUAAUUUUUUAAAAAACUGUUUUAAAAAGAACAGUCAAGCAGUUCUGAGGUAGAUGAAGUUAGUGGGUUGGGCCUCCCCACUCCCUGAAGGCGGCCACUGUCAGCCUGGGCUUGGUCCUUCACACCCACCCAGCCCUCAGGAUGGUUUCCGUUGACUGUUGACUGAGCAUCGCGGUAGAAAAACCUCCAGGAGUGUGAUGAGCCUCUGUCUCUGCUGGACUCAUAUCCAGACCCUCGAUUGUGGGGUCUGCAGCUCAGAACCAGGGUCACCCCCAGAUGCCGGGUGAUCAGCCCAGCUCCAGUCUCUGGGGGCUCACCAGGUGACUGGUAAUUGCUACUCAGGUACUCCCAACCCUCAGCCUGUCUGCAGAGGCAGAGGAUGGAGUCUGGCUGGACUCAGCUCAGGAUGGGGGGCUCGAGCUUCUCAGCUCCCAGCUUCCCUCGGUCCCCUGCCUUCCUGUGAGGUCCCCAUCCCUCUGCACCCUUGGACGUGUGGCUCCUGGGUGUCUCACUGGCCAGGAAGGUCAGGAACGCAGAAAGACUGCUUUAAUGGGCAGGGCUCUUAUUUAUUUGGGCGUGACAAAGUAUGUGAAAGGUCGUUGAUGCCCGGGAAGCACCUGUCACCGGUGAGGUUGUGUGCUGUGACCAUGAGGACUGCCACCACUCCCUCUCCAUGGCUUCACUGGGAGGUCUCUGCAGCUGCACAGCAGGAGUCAGUUCUGAGGAUGGGGACCCUUGGGCUGGGGCAGCCAGGCAGCUUGCUCAAGCUGGGGUCUGUACGUAGAUCUGCCUGCAAAGAUACUGACCCGUGAUCACCUAGCCUGGCAGGUAGCAGGUGGCCCUCUGGGCUGAGGACAUGUCCAGUGAUUAAAGGUGACCAUUUGUCCAGGACUUUUAAAGAAGAGAGGAAAGUCUUUUUUGUGGUAUUAGAACUGUUUCCCAGUCCCAGCAUUGUUGAUAUUUGGGGCAGUUCAUUCUCUGCUGUGGGUCUGUCCUGUGCAGUGAGAUGGCAUCAGUUUGCCUGGCCUGUACCCACUCGUUACCAGUAGCAUCUCCAUCUCUGCUCGUGACCACCAAAAAGGUCUCCAUACGUUGCCAGAUGUCCCCCGGGGGACAGACUUGCCCCUACUGAGAGCCCCUGGACUCGAGAACUCGGAUUGGGCUUCCAGUGAUCACUGCCUUGGCAUCAUGAGCUGCUUCUCACUUGGGUGCAGUUUUCUUUGUUCCUUUUCCAAAAGGCUGACCUCAUCGAGCUCAUUUGUUUGUUUCGUUGACUCACCCAGCUCUAACCACAAGAGCCUUCCUACGUUGGGGGAUCCCAAAUGACUUAUCAUGGGACUCUGUACGUAAAUCUAAAAGAUUCUCGUCUGCUAAAUUGGAGGCAGACACUUCUCUUUUAGCUCUGCUUCUGAAGCCCUUGCCUCCAGCAUUCAAGGACACACGAGGCUCCUGCUGAAGAUUUUACUGUGAGCACCCUUGCAGUUCAGUUUUCUGAAAUCGCCAAGCAUUUUUCUCCCAUUCAUUUGGGUCUUAGCCCAGUGACUAGCAGAUGAUCUAAGGGCCAGAGCGGUCUGGAGUUGGCCAGUGCUUGGGGGAUUUUCUUAAGGCCUCUGACCUAGGACUGGCUGGGGAGGAGGAGCCGGGAGGGGGAGGAUGAGGAGGAAGAAGGGGGAAGGAGAGACAGGUUCCAGGUGGAUCCACCCACCCAGAGUGCACCCACUGCUGUGCAUCAGGACCCUUGGGCAAGGCCUGGCCUUUUGGGGGCUCCUCUUGAGGCCCUGAGAAAGCUACUGCCUUUGAGGUGGGGCUGCACAAAGCUCAAUGUAGCCCUGAGGACUGAUGCAAUCCUGAGGUCAGAGACCACGCCUUCUACCCACUUGGUGAGCGAGGCUGUAACCCCGAGAAAGAAGGCUGGGUUCUGACUGGUCCUCUCUUGGGCUCCUUUUCCUGCCUCACUGACUCCUUAGGGAAAUCGGUUCUGGUUUCCAAGUGGGGGCUUUAGAUCUUAACACCUGCCUUGCACUUGAAAACUCUAGUUAUCGGAAGAUCUCGUGUGCCCACAGCUCUCCUCUCCGGCAUCGGUGCUUCUGUUCUGCUGUGGCUCCCCGAGGCUCGGCUCGAUUGGCUACCUCUGAAGCACGCAACUGAACUUGAACAGCAGUUGGGAUGCCCAGGCCCACCCCCCUGGCGCCACCUGUGGCCUCACAUUCAGCCUGUGUGGAGAGCUCCAUGCUUGCUAUUGACUUGGGCUGGACUGGCCAGAGAACAGAAGGGACCAGAAGCUAGAUCUGGCUGCCAAGGGCCCUUCAUCCUGGAUGGCAGGACGCUAGCCGGCUGUACCAGAUGCCACCAGCCCCGCCAACAUGUGCCCAUCCACCCCCGGUUAGCACAUGAAGCCAGGACCUCCUCUCUCAAACCAGACAGUCAGUACUCCAGGCGCCCAGGGAUGCUUCCUGAAGGGCUGGGACCAAGAGGGGUGAGUGGGUCUGUGUGCACUCAGAGCGGAGUUUCAGGGGCACCCUUUAUUCCCUGGGGCUGUUCUCCCUGCCCUUACCUGUGCUAGCUCUGAGUUUUCCGGAUUCCAGCCUCUGUGGUAGCCAAUCUGUCAGCGGCUGGCUGAAAGCUACUUUCCCAGAAUAGCCACCCAGUGGAAAAGAGCAGCCCUGGAAUUUGACCCUGACGAUCCCCGCGAAGGUCUUGCCCAGGCUCCUGGUCCCACCUGGCUCCACCUCUACCCAUCACCGGGGCACUGUUGGCGGGUGUGGGGGCUGGGUUUUUCUUCUCUCCUCCUCCCUUCUUCCUCUCCCCUUUUGUUUUUUUCUCCACCAGCUGUAGAUUUAGGAUCCAGGUGACUCAGAGGGAUGUUCCAGUGCUUGAGAGGCUGGGCAGGUGGUGGGAGUAGGUCACACGGUGGAGGCAGAGAGGGGAGGGGACCCUGGGUGCCAGCACCUCUCUGCAGGUGAAUGCACACCUAAGGCAGGGCCUGGGCACUGGCAGCGAGCCCAGGCCCAGAGGUGGAGGCGAGCCCGGCAGGUCGGACAGGUGGAGCGAGUCCAGUGGCUUCGGGGCCACAGCUGAGGGUCCCAUCCCUGGUCCUCCCUCAGCCCACAAACCAGGUAAUCCAUCUUUUUAUCUUUUCUGCUGGUUUAGUUCACUGUCAACUUCAGGCAACACUUAUGACUUGGGGGAAAAGAAAGCCUUUGAGAUUUUCAAGAGAAAUCAUGAGUUUCUUUGGAGAGUACUUGCCGUGUUUGUAUGUGGGAAACUUGGCCUUGGCCUCAUAAAAACACAUCUAAUUGUCUGGUCCUUGGUUCUGAAAAGCAGGUUUCUUACGGAGCCUAGAUUGUUGUUGUUGCUGUUGUUCAGUCACUCAGUCAUGUCUGACUCUUUGCAACCCCAUGGACUAUUCUGUCCAUGAGAUUUCCAGACCCAGGGAUAGAAUCCGUGGUGGAUUAUUUACCUCUGAGCCACCACAGGAGCCCUUAAAUCCUCCUUAUGGAAAAGGAAAACAGCCCACCUAACCACAACAAAGCCUUCCUUCCACAGGCUCCUCAUUCACAGUUACAAAAAAAAAAAUCUCUCGUUUCUGGACCUUGCCUUCCUGAUUUGCCAUUCAGCAUCCAGGCUCCUUGGGCUUCCCAGGUGGCUCACAGGUAAAGAAUCCGCCUGCCAAUGCAGGAUACGUGGGUUCAGUCCUUGGAUUGGGAAGAUCCCCUAGAGAAGGAAAUGGCAACCCACUCCAGUAUUCUUGCUUGGGAAAUCCCGUGGACAGAGGAGCCUGGCGGGCUAUAGUUCAUGGGGUCACAAAGAUUUGGACACAGUUACUGACUAAACAACAACAAGCGGAUUUGGGCUGAGCUGCCUCACGCCGAGUCUCAGCUCAGAAGCAUGAAGGGUGCUGGGCUCCUUCCAAAACUCAAACUUACAUUACGGCCCUUGGGCAGAGUUUUAUUUUGAAAUUGUUUGAAGUUUCACAUCACCUCUCCUGCUAAGGUGGACUAGACUUGUGAGAGCCAGUGUCCAGGUUUUCACCCACAUUUUAUUUAGCCCAGAAGUUGUCCCCUUAGUCUUUGAGGUGGGACGGGGGAGUGGUUCUGGCUUGAGGGCAGGCAGGGAAAAGCACAGAUCUGAAGAACAAAGCCAGGACUCUCAGCCGGAAAUGGGGACUGAUUUUGUCCUGUACGGCAUAAAUUGAACUUAUGCAUUGCUUCCUCUCUGCGGUCCAUGCCCUCCUCUAUCUGCCAAUAUCCGGGAACAUCACCCAGGUGCUCAGAGCAGAUGCCACGUUUGUCUCAAAUUGCCCUUGCACUUUGCAGGGAGAGGACACAGAAGCUGCUUCUGCUGCUGAAGCUUUUGUAACAUAACAUUUUUUGUUAAGUGGUUUGCCCUUUUUUUUUUUUUUUUUUUUUCAUUUUUAAUUCCAAGGUAAUUUGUGGUGUUCAAAUUGCUUAGAUUAUGGGAUAUAUCGGUUAGGAUUCCUUCUUCUGUAAGUAGGAGAAAACACUACUCAAAAUAACAAAUGAUCAGAACAUUAAAAUUUUUAUAAAACAUAAGUGCAGAGAUAGAGGAGUUUUGUGAUGGGUUAUGUAUCCAGGACUCAACAAGGUCAAGGAGUUAAGACUUUGUCCCUAUUUUUGCUCUGCCAUCCUCCACAUACUGACUUGUCUCCCACCAGCUCACCUCCUGCCUAACUCUUCCUGGGGUCUCUUAUUGUAAGUGAGGAAACUUUUCCCAAUGCCCCCUGUCCAGCCCCAGCCAAUCAGUGGCAAGGAGGAGGGGGUUACUGUGAUGGAAUUCUUGAGGCCCAUGUGACCAGGAGAGGAGGGUAGAUAAACUGCAUCAAAUCAGAGUCUAUGAGUAGGUGGAGAGAGGGUGUGAAUUUGGGGCCAUAUUGCCACAUCAAAAAUUUACAUUUAUUCAGAUCUGUGACUGAUUUGGGGGCAGUAACUCUUGCUCCCAAAACACAUGUAUUUUUUUCAAUACGCAGUUCUUAAUGCAAGAGCAGUUUAGAUAAUCAUGGUAUCCACACUUAGCCUUUUACCUCCUAGGAGGCCCUCUUCCUUAAACAUCUGGGCCAGUGGUUUUUAAGAGUUCGAGCUUUUCUCCUUUUAAAAUUUAUUUAUUUAUUUAUUUAUUUUUGACUGUGCUAGGUCUCUGUGGCUGCUUGGGCUCUUCUAUAGCUGUGAGCAGGGGCUAUUCUCUAGCUGCGGUGUGCGGACUUCUCAUUGUGGUAGCUUCUCGUUGUGGGGCACAGGCUCUGGGGCACAGGCUCAGUAGUUGUGGUGUGCAGGCCUAGUUGCUCCAAGGCAUGUGGAAUCUUCCCUGACCAGGGAUCAAACCUGUCUCCUGCAUUGGCAGGGCGAUUCUUAACCAGUGGACCACUAGGGAAAUCCUUCCUCCCACUUUUGACAUCACUUUGAAAUGCAAGAGGACACUUAUGGUUGGUAUGAAAUGUCUUGGAUUCCUUGCAAAGCUUUGCAGAGGAGUGUGUGACGCAAAGCCGUGACUCUUUGAGUACCUUGCUUGUGCCACCAGGCCGGGCUCUUACAAAGCACUUGUUCCUAUGGUUCAGAACUGCUCACAGUUAUGAUUUUGCACGUCUGUGAUUUCCUCCCCAUAUCUCUCUCUCUUACCAGGAGUCUCCCAAGACCUAGGACAUCCUCCCCAUUGAGUCUUCAGCACCCAUUGAAAGUAAUAUGUUAUGGGUUCAUGAAGGGGACAUUCAUGCUUUCUGAAAGAUGCACUGUGGAAUUAGGAAGGCUUCCUGAGUGAAUUUCCACAUCUCCGUGGAUGGAGAACGGGUCCUGCUUUCCCAGGAAUGGUGACAUUCAAGAGCCUUGUUCUCAGAAUCCACUUUUUCUUUAAUGCUUAAAAUUUAAGUGCUAGGAACUUAAAACGCCCCUGGUGAAGAUGACUUCUGAUUUUCUUGUAUUCUGGUUCCCUGUAUUUUCUUGUAUUCCUGGUUCCUUGGGCCGGCAGCUCUAGCUCUAUAGCAAGAUGUAUCGGGCUUGGGGCUCAAAAGGGCCCCUGUAAGAAGAGAAGGGCUUCCCAGGUGGCACUAGUGGCAAAGAACCCGCCUGCCAGUGCAGGAGACGUGGGUUUGAUCCUGGGGUUGGGAAGAUCCCCUGGAGGAGGGCAUGGCAACCCACGCCAGUAUUCUUGCCUGGAGAAUCCCAUGGACAGAGGAGCCUGGUGGGCUACAGUCCAUAGGGGUCACAAACAGCAGGAUACGACUGAAGCAACUUAGCACACACACAAGGAGAAGAGAAGUAUCAUCACAGCUCUGAGCGGAACUCCAGGCCUUUUAAACAUCUUGUGUUAAUGCAGCAGAAGCUCACCUGGCAAGUGGACCAAAGCGUUUCAGUAGAAAGGAAAGUACAUUGAAAAAGUAUGUUCACAUGGGUCGUGACUUUCCAGUAAAGUCUGAUUCCGUGAAAGACUGCUAACUUGGUGUGUUUUGUAGAUUUCAUGGAAUGCAGUCAGAUUUGAGGCACUGACUGAUUAUUCACGCUAGCCUCCUGUCUCUGAUGGGAAAGAUUGUUCCUCAGGUCCUGGCCUCCUCUCUCUGGAAGAUUGUCCUCUCCAUCUGAAAGCCCUGACUGAUCAGCCGUGGCGCCUGGGGUGGGGACGGGAGGAGGGGAGUGAGGCAGCCUCCCUAGGUAGACCUCUUCAUCAAAGUUGCUGCCUAGAUUCAGAAAAUGGGGUUCUGCAUGGAAAUCAGGGGGCGGGGCUGGCUUAGAUACCCCCAGCCCCACAUCUUGCUUUUUGGAGCCAUCUUUCUUUUGGAGGGUUGCUGUCCUGAGCUGCUUGUAGGGUCUUAGUGCCCCCCCCACCAGGAAUCGAACCCAGACCUGGACACUGAAAUCUCUAAGUCCCAACUGCAGGACCACCAUGGAAGUCAUUGAGGCAUCUUUUCUUCCAGACUGUUUCUGAGCCUGAGGGUGGGCUGGACCCGGAUCUGACAGGCCCCUCGUCUCCAUCCUUCCCACACCCUGUGACACCUGCUCUGGACCUGUGCCAGGGAUGAAGACAUGCCCUGUCCCCACGAAAUGCACAGCCCUCCCACCCUCGGUAGUGGCAGAGCCACACUCGGGACUGCAGCCGGAGAGCGCCCACACUGGCCAGGCGUGCCGCUGCCCCUUGAUCUGCAUGUAGUCAUCUUCACAGUGGGAAGCCUGCCUCUGCUUCCAGUUUCCAGGGUCCUCUGCCUGGGCUGGCCUAGGCUGGGAGUCAAGGGAAGGGGAGACUCAGACCCCUCUUGUUCCUGUGCUCACGGGAGGGUAUGGUCGCUGCAGGAAGUGCCUUUGGCCCCUUCCCAGACCUGCUGGAUCAGAAGCUCCACUGUAGGGCUGGGAAUCUGCCCCUUUCCAAGCUCCCAGGCAACUCAGGAAAACCGAUGCUUACACACAGGAAAACUGGUGCUCUAACCUGAUGAAAGUGUUCUGCCAGGACUUACUUUUGGGGUAAAACUGGACAUAUUUGGGGCAUUUUCCCACACUAAAAGAUAACGCCUGACUUGCUUUUAUUUUAUUUUUUUUUAAUCUUUAUUUCUUUGGCUGCACUGGGUCUUAGUUGUGGCACGCAGGAUCUUUGAUCUUCACUGUAGCACGUGGCAUCUUUGGUUGUGGCAUGUGGGGUCUAAUUCCCUGACCAGGGAUCAAACCUGGGCCCCCUGCAUUGGGAGCAGAGUCUUAGCCAGACCACCAGAAGUCCCCUGCCUUGCUUUGUUAGCAUACAGACGUGUUCACCUGUUUGGGGGCAGAAGACUGAGGUAAGCAGUCAUUCCAUCAGCCCCACUGGACAUUUUGUAGCCAAGAAGGGAUAAGCCUGUGUGCCCUCCUCCUGCAGCAUGUGUGUGGGACACCCUCCCAGGGGCUUUCUCUUCUCGGGCAGAGAGAUUCCUCUGGCUGGGGAGCUGCCUUCCUCUGUACCCCCUUGCCUGGAACGCAGGUUUCUGGGAUUUCCCUUGCUGGGGUAGAGAACUCCCGCUGCAUGUCCCCCCACACACACCUUGGGUGGUCUGCAUCCAAAGCCAUGAGUCACGCAAUCUUCAGGCUGCCUCUCUGUGAUGGUCAGUUGGAGGCGUCUGCGUGAGCAGGCUGUGGGACCCAGGAACCCAGCCAGACACUAGGUGCUGCUGUGACGUUUUGCAGGUGGGUCGUCAUCCACCAUCAGCUGACUCUGAUUGAAGAUCAUCCAGGAGAGUUGGUGGGCCUCAUCUAGUCAGUUGAAGGCCUUAAGAAUCCAGCUGGGACCCAAGAGGAAGAAAUUCUGUGGUUGGAUGGCAGUGUCUGCUCUGGCCCAGGAGUCUCCAGCUUGCUAGGCUGCCCUGCAGACUUCAGCCUGGCCUAACAGCCCCUGUGAGCACAUGAGUCCACUCCUUGACAUAAAUCUUCAUCCAUAUCUCCUUUGUCAGAACUCUGAUGGAUCCACUCCAGACCGUGCCUGGGAUCUGGGAGCAGUCACUGCUGCUUUAUUUUGUUGCUUGCUUUUUUUUUUUUUGGCUGCCCUGGGUCUUUGUUGCAGGACAAGGGCUUCUCUUAUUGGAGCGUUUGGGCUUAGCUGCCCCCCAGGUCAUGUGGGAUCUUAGUUCCCUGCCCCCGUGAAUCAAACCCACAUCCCCUGGGUUGCAAGGUGGAUUCUCAACCACUGGGCCACCAGGAAAGUCCCCAUGAAUUUUAAACUAUUGUCAUUUUCUAACUUCUCAUCCAGGGAAGCGCUGGCUUAUUUUUCCUCCUGAUCAGUGUGGGUCAUGGGCCAGCCCUGCUGGGGUCUUUGCAAUCUCAGCUUUCUCCUCCAUCCUCUUUCCUCCCCUCCCCAUUUCUUUCUCUGCAGGUUUCAAGCAGAGGCAGGACAGGCCUGCCCCCUGUCAUCGGCGGGGCCAGCUGUGAGUGUUUCUUUGGCAGUGUCUUAGCUGGUUGUUGUGAGUAAUAAUGCAGGAAGCAAUCAGCAAGUAUACUGCCCUAGAAGUGCUGCACGUUGUGGGCCCAGGAGGGAAGAAAGGGGCAAGACACUUGAACCAUCAUGGGAUGCUGGGACAGGAUGUCGGAGGCUUUGCCCUGCCAUGGCAGCUGGUAAGGGCUGCUGGGGAAGCAAACUCUUGGGCCCCUGGAGCUGCCUGCUUAUAACUGGUGGAGGAAAAAGGUGCACAGGCUGGGCCAUGGAUGGUUUCUGGCUAGGAGGAAUUUGCACGUAGGAAUGAUAAUCGCCAAUGUUUAUGGAGCACUUACUAUGUAUGAAGCCCUGCAUCCUAGGGCUUAUGUAUUAUCUCAGGAGCAAGAAUCUGUUGUUACCCUGCCUUUCAGAGAAGAAACAGAAGUACCAAGAGCAAAAGUAACACAGGAUGGGACUUCCUGGUGGUACAGUGGUUAGGGCUCUGUGAUUCCACUGCAGGGGGCACAGGUUUAAUCCCUGGCUGGGCAACUAAGAUCCCACAAGCCACAUAGUGUAGCUGAAAACAACAAUAAUAAUAAAUUUUAAAAGUAACAAAGGAUGCAGUUGAUAGAAAGGGGAGCCAAGCAAUCUGGCUCAGAACUCUGUACUCCUAACUGCAGGCUCGUGUCAUUAGAGAUGGGCCUGGGAUGGUGUCACUGACCUGUGGGGACCCCCUUUGCCGAGUGAUUUGAAUGUGAACACCCUCUACUCUCUCUCCCUCCCUGCAUGAAGCAAAUUUCAAAUGCAAUCAUAUGCUUCAGAGAAGGUACCUGUGUGAGCAUUAGGAGAUGUGUCUGCCUUGGGGAGAGUUUUUCUUUUCAUCUGAAGCCAGGCCCAGGAAGUUGAUGGGGAGGAGAAUCUGGUGGUGUUUUCUGCACUAGUGUCUGAUAAGAAGGGUUGCCCCAAGGGAGCUCAGCUGAGAUGAGAGUGUGGUUCUCCGGGUCCCACCAGUUCCACCUACCGAUGCCAGCUUUGGGUCCAGCGAGCUGUGAGGCCUGCCAGAUUACCAUGGCAACAGGAACUGGAUCCAAGCCACCAAAGGAUGGAGAGCCAAGACAGCAGUGGCUUUUCCAAGUCUUGGAUCACCAGGCACACCCCAUGGCCUCCAGCAAGCCCGGGAUAACCCAACAGCAAGACAGGCCCUGUGUGUCCCCAGAGCCUGCCAAACCAGCUUGGGGUCCUUGCCUUCCUGCUGUUGCUAUCUACUUGCUGACACUGAGUGGUGAGUUCCCCAGUUCACUGUCCCGCUGAUUUUCCCCAUUGUUCUCCCAUAUAGUGCUUAUAGGAAUUCACCUGAAUCCCAGAGGCAAAGCCACAUGCCAGUGGCUGACUCCUCUGACCCCAGUGACUAAAGUAAGACAAGCCUCCAGGGUCUAUGAAGCGAUGGAUACUGUUGAUGCAGUUGAGGACAGCACCUACUGUGACCGGCCCUCCUGCAACCUCUGCGUGUCGUCUGCUGCUCCCCCUCCAGCCACUGCCCAGGGCCCCUCCCCUGCUCAUGCCCACCCAACUGGACCCCAUCUCUUAGCUCUGUCUUGUCUUUCUUUGUGCUUCUAAACUCUGGAAGGGAGAGGAGACUAUUUCCAUUCUGACCACUUUGUAAGAGUCAGAAGGGCCUUAGAAUGGUUUUCUGGGAUUUGAAAUUGAACCUUGGCCUUGACACACUCUGCCUGAUAGCCCCUCCUCCAGGCUAAGCCAGUCCCCUUUCUCUGAUUGCUGGAAAGCAAAGCAGGCAGCCAGAUCUGUUCCCGUGGGAAUGGUCCGGUCCUCCUCUGCUCAGCGGGCUGGCUUCAGAGAGGAUCCCUUUGUCAUGCACACUGCACUGGCCAUGCCUGUGGCCGCCUGGCUGCAGUUCCUCUCUGCUCCCCAGAGCCUGUGUGGGCUGCAGCAGGGCCAUUGCGUGCCUGGGAUGCCGGCUGCAGUGACAGAGCCAGCCCAGAGCCCUCACGGGAGUUCUGACCGAGACAGCAUUUGGGAUCGAUUAUAAGCCAAAGUCUUUACAUUUUUUCCCCCAGUUUUAGGCUGAAGUAAAGAAUGCCUCUGCCUUCUCCAACCACCAACUGAUUUGGGGGCUUGAACUUCUCAAAUAAAGGGACCAGACUCCUCUGUCCAUGGAAUUCUCCAGCCAAGAGUACUGGACUGGGUUGCAUUCCCUUCUCCAGGGGAUCUUCCUGACCUAAGGAUCGAACCAAGGUCUCCUGCGUUGCAGAUGGAUUCUUUACCAUGUGAGCCACCAAGGAAGCCCAAAGGGACCACAGGUGUUUCUCUGGUGGUCCAGUGGCUAAGACUCUGUGCUUCUAAGGCUGGAGGUGCAGGUUGGAUCAUGGUCAGGGAACUCGGAUCCCGCGUGACAUGAGGUGAGGCCAAAAAAACAAAAAACCAAAAAAAUCACUUAAAUAUAUAUAUGUCAGCCUAUAUAUUUAAUAAGUUCUGUGGAUCAGUAAUAUCCAUUUCCUAGUUUCAGUAUUGUCCUACAGUUACUGAGAGAAACUGACUCAAAAGUACAUAGGAUGUCUCUGUUUUUUUGUUUUGUUUUGUUUUGUUUUUUGCAAUUUUCUGUAAAUCUAUGGUUAUUUCAAAAUAAAAAGUUACAACAUA